This 465-nucleotide ribosomal RNA is filed under the name Vreelandella stevensii. RNAcentral describes it as "partial 16S ribosomal RNA". It matches the Rfam family "Bacterial small subunit ribosomal RNA", at positions 338 to 795 of the family's 1533-position model. The record is from RNAcentral. Lineage: Bacteria; Pseudomonadati; Pseudomonadota; Gammaproteobacteria; Oceanospirillales; Halomonadaceae.
CCUACGGGAGGCUGCAGUGGGGAAUAUUGGACAAUGGGGGGAACCCUGAUCCAGCCAUGCCGCGUGUGUGAAGAAGGCCCUCGGGUUGUAAAGCACUUUCAGUGAGGAAGAACGCCUGGUGGUUAAUACCCAGCAGGAAAGACAUCACUCACAGAAGAAGCACCGGCUAACUCCGUGCCAGCAGCCGCGGUAAUACGGAGGGUGCGAGCGUUAAUCGGAAUUACUGGGCGUAAAGCGCGCGUAGGUGGCUUGAUAAGCCGGUUGUGAAAGCCCCGGGCUCAACCUGGGAACGGCAUCCGGAACUGUCAAGCUAGAGUGCAGGAGAGGAAGGUAGAAUUCCCGGUGUAGCGGUGAAAUGCGUAGAGAUCGGGAGGAAUACCAGUGGCGAAGGCGGCCUUCUGGACUGACACUGACACUGAGGUGCGAAAGCGUGGGUAGCAAACAGGAUUAGAUACCCUGGUAGUC